GAUAGAGAGAGAGGGGAGGGGAAAGAGGAGUGGGAGCAGGGAGAGAUGGUCGUAGGAGAGAGGCCAUUCAAUGAACGAUGGGAGGGAGGUGAGGAGUUGUAGAGGUAGAUGUCCAAUCAAGGCAGAUAACGUGACAUGUAGAGGGAGAAAUCACAUGUUGAAGAGGUGUGAGAGUGUGGGAGGAAGUAAGAAUAGUGAGAUAAAGAUGGGGAGAGGACAAAGGAGGAAAAUCACCAGAGAAGGGAUGUGGUCCAAUUGUGUGGAAGUGGGAAAACAUCAAACAUUGACAAAUACAAAGAACCGGUUGGAAUGAGUACAUGUAAAAGCAAUGGCAGAAGCAAAGGAAGGAGGAAUCAGAAAUAAAAGACAAGUGAUACGGGGAUGGAAGAACCACACAGACAGAAAGAGAGAGGAGAGAGAGACAGAGAGAGCCAAAUGAGUUACGAAGUUGAUGCAUGACGAACACCAAUAGAAAUGGCAGCACAGGAAAAGGGACACAGGGAAAGAGGGGAUGAAGGGGGAAUUAAAAUUCUUGAGGUCAAAGGGUCGUGAUCCUCUUUGGAUGAGUAGCAAGGAGUGUUUAUCAGGUGUCAGGAAAAGUGUCAUUCUUUGCCAAUGAGUACAAAUCACGUCCAAUAAGUUUCUAUGUAAAUGUGCGAGCAGCGGAAAGUAUUUUAACUUAAAGACUCUAGAAGAACUCUACACUUAUGGCUUCUUUAAACAUCUUAACAGCACAUACUGUAGCAUCAGCCUGCUACUAAAGACAUGCAAAAAGCCACAAGGAGCUCAGCACCAAAUUUAAAAAGCAAGAUAAAGGUGCACCCUAUAGCCUGGCAGGAAAUCCAAACCUGUUCAAUUCACCGACCAAAACGUCUAACCCAAACCCACUGAGCACAUAUAGCAAUGAGCUGCUGCAUGGGCAUUCAUCCUGGGUUGGAGCUUUUGAUCAGUGAUUAAGUCAAAGUUUGGUUUUGCCAUCUUUUCUUACCUACAUUGGCGCCGAAUAACAGCAAUGCAAGACUAGUUAUAUUAUUAGUUUAUGUCAAAGCCUUCACUCCCAGUCUUGUUCACUGACGUCUGUGUGGGAGCAGUGGGAAGAGAAAACAAUUGGGUUAUUGUGCCAAUAGACAACUAUUGGAGGACUCUAUUCAUAAUGGUGCUUAAUGCAUCCAAAAGCUGCUGCAAGAUGAUUUGAAUAUAGAAGCAUUUUGAAAGCUGAAAAAUCACAGUUUUACCAUCAGACCUCUAGAACCUCUUGAAAUAAUUGCAUUUGAUUUAUCUUGCCGUGUGGUGUUUAGACAUAAUUACAGAGACUCACUGGAAAUGUAUGACGAGUGCAGAGCCGUUUAAAAGAGCUUGGAAAUAUGUGCAUACUAAUUUAAUUCAGGUUUAUCAAACUUUGGAAAAAUAUAUGCAUGACAUUAGAUACCACUUUAAUGCAAGAAGUAUGAAAUACUGUCACAUGGAUGGAAUGACGUGCUGUAGAGGGGAGAGACAGGAAGUAGGAGGGAUAGUUUGGUCUGCAUCCAGUAGAGAAAAUGAAUCAAAAGGAUUGAAAUUAUCACUGGAUAAACUGUCUGAUGAGUGUGUCCAUUGUGAGUGGAAGGUGUUUCCAUUUCACUUAAAAAAAGAAAAAAGAAAAAGUGAAAAGAAGAACGAAAACCCCAAAAUUGGAUGUGAAUUAGCGGGCCUUUUCUCUUCUCAAUCAGAACCAAAAUGAAUGAAAACAUUUUCAGCUGCUAACUGGUGCUAUGAACAGCUACAGUGGACAUUUACAGGAUGCCAGUAACACGACUCCACUAACACUUGUUUCGUUACUCUCAAACACGACCGACAGUGUCGUUUAAUGUCCAUGUGUAGACCAAUACACAUGUCUAUUAAACUCAGGAAAUCAAGCAGCCGAACAAAGACAUGGCAAAAAUGUUUACUGACAUCCUUUUUUAAAAACUUACCAAGCUUGCUUCACUCUCUGUGGGCUGUGGUGUUUGAUUACUUGGUGCAUUCAAUUACAGCUUGGUGUGAGAGUGUUUUUUAUGCUAAUGAAAAUUGUGGGGUACUGGAGACAGAAACACAAAACACUUAGUGGAGAACUGAAAUGUUAGGUGUAUAGUAAUGAUGCAGAUAUCGCACACACAGGCUCUUACCCAUCUCCUCCAAUCUCCAAUCAAUUUGAAUCGUGGAUGUCUAUAGAGCAAACUGUAAAAUCGUUCUCACAGUGUUGGUUUAAUCAACUUAUAUAUGGUUAAAUUAAAGGAACCCCCUGUAUGGCUUAAGAGGACUAUAGCUUGCCAGGUGAAAGAGCUCUAACUCGGACGCAAAACACAUUUCACACAUCCUCAGACGCACCAUAAACAACGUGGCCACCAUUCAACCAAAUAAUGUGCCCAGGUGCCAAAAACGCAAACACAUAAAUAUCAGAAACAAAGACUCACUGAAAGACACAGAAAAUACACACACACACACAAAAAAAAACAUGUGCACAUUAAUCAGUGUUCUUCAGGGAAGGAUUGGGUCAGAUACGGAGAUUUCCCAUAAUUCCCAUUGUUUAUCUGAGGGCGUGCUGGGAGGGAUGGAGAGUGGAAAUGUGAAGUUCAUGUGUAGGAAACCAAAGCGGGACAAAAAUAUGUUUGUGUGUGCGAGGGAGAAAAAAAGAAGAUCUAUAUUAAAGGAGAAUUCACACAAUGUUUCAGAGACUUUGGGACAGAUUUAUCACCAAGAACGGUAAUCACUCUGGACACAAGUCUAUGAAAUCAUAAAACAUGUGAUUGUGUGUAUUCUCUUUAAAUUCAGAUUUUUUUUUACGUAGCUGCUUGGCAGAAAGUAACAAUUCUUCAUUAAAAAUUAAGUAACUAAAGCCUAUUGUCAUUGGGCUAUUGUAGGAACCAGAGGGAAUCGACAUCCUGUUUGUACAUAAAACAGUAAUACUGUAUGUUUUUCACUCAAUGGUUGAUUAUCGUUUAUUAAGAUAAUGUUUAGUAUAUUUAAAGUUAACCCAGGCCAAGUGAAAAAAAAUGAGGUGACUAUUAAAUGUGAUGAAAAUCUGAGUUGAACUUUUGCAAAUGCCAUCAUCUGAAAAUAUCGGAGCUUAAGAAUCAAUGGUAUUCAUUGAUUAUUUUGUAUUUCUCUGCAUUUCAACGAUUUACCCAAUGCAAAGAGUUACAGGAAGGUCUCCGUAUAUGACGUGAACAUCAUUUGAGAUAAUAUAUAUUUCUGUGCGGUUGUUGGUGUAAAUCAUUAAAAUGCAGAGGAAUACA
Molecule: long non-coding RNA, 3254 nt
Organism: Sebastes umbrosus (honeycomb rockfish)
Lineage: Eukaryota; Metazoa; Chordata; Actinopteri; Perciformes; Sebastidae
Exons: 4
Source: RefSeq, a predicted model, not a curated record